RNAcentral lists this ribosomal RNA (441 nucleotides) under uncultured bacterium. Its description in RNAcentral is "partial 16S ribosomal RNA". It matches the Rfam family "Bacterial small subunit ribosomal RNA", at positions 338 to 795 of the family's 1533-position model. The record is from RNAcentral.
CCUACGGGUGGCAGCAGUGGGGAAUAUUGCACAAUGGGGGCAACCCUGAUGUAGCGACGCCGCGUGAGUGAAGAAGUAUUUCGGUAUGUAAAGCACUAUCAGCAGGGAAGAAAAAAGACGGUACCUGACUAAGAAGCCCCGGCUAACUACGUGCCAGCAGCCGCGGUAAUACGGAGGGGGCAAGCGUUAUCCGGAGUUACUGGGUGUAAAGUGAGCGUAGACGGCGCGGCAAGUCUGAAGUGAAAGGCAGGGGCUUAACCCCUGAACUGCAUUGGAACCUGGCAUGCUAGAGUGCUGGAGAGGGAAGUGGAAUUCCUGGUGUAGCGGUGAAAUGCGUAGAGAUUAGGAGGAACACCAGUGGCGAAGGCGGCUUACUGGACAGUAACUGACGUUGAGGCGCGAAAGCGUGGGGAGCAAACAGGAUUAGAUACCCGGGUAGUC